This 464-nucleotide ribosomal RNA is filed under the name uncultured bacterium. Its description in RNAcentral is "partial 16S ribosomal RNA". It matches the Rfam family "Bacterial small subunit ribosomal RNA", at positions 28 to 507 of the family's 1533-position model. The record is from RNAcentral.
GACGAACGCUGGCGGCGUGCUUAACACAUGCAAGUCGAACGGAAAGGCCCUGCUUGUGGGGUACUCGAGUGGCGAACGGGUGAGUAACACGUGGGUGAACUGCCCUGCACUUCGGGAUAAGACUGGGAAACUCUGUCUAAUACCCGAGAGAAGACAUCUUGCGUGUGGUGGUUGGAUAGUUUGUUCGGUUUAGGAUGAGCGUGCGGCCAAUCAGCCUGUUGGUGGGGUAAUGGCCUACCAAGCCGCGCCUGGUAGCCUGGCCGGGAUGGGGGACGGCCACCUUUGGGCGUGGGAACGGCCCAGACUGCGACCGGAGGCAGCAAGGGGGAAAAAUGCAAAAUGGGGGAAAGGCUGAUGCAACGAAGCCGGGUGGGGGAAGAACGCCUUUGGGUUGUAAACCCCCUUCGCGAGGGACGAAACUUUGAGUGACGGUACCUAGAUAAGAAGCACCGGCUAACUACGUG